Molecule: ribosomal RNA, 468 nt
Filed under: uncultured bacterium
Lineage: Bacteria
Description: partial 16S ribosomal RNA
Rfam family: Bacterial small subunit ribosomal RNA
Source: RNAcentral
GACGAACGCUGGCGGCGUGCUUAACACAUGCAAGUCGAACGGAAAGGCCCUGCUUUUGUGGGGUGCUCGAGUGGCGAACGGGUGAGUAACACGUGAGUAACCUGCCCUUGACUUUGGGAUAACUUCAGGAAACUGGGGCUAAUACCGGAUAGGAGCUCCUGCUGCAUGGUGGGGGUUGGAAAGUUUCGGCGGUUGGGGUUGGACUCGCGGCUUAUCAGCUUGCUGGUGGGGUAGUGGCUUACCAAGGCUUUGACGGGUAGCCGGCCUGAGAGGGUGACCGGCCACAUUGGGACUGAGGUACGGCCCAGACUCCUACGGGAGACAGCAGUGGGGAAUAUUGCCCAAUGGGCGGAAGCCUGAUGCAGCAACGCCGCGUGCGGGAUGACGGCCUUCGGGUUGUAAAACGCUUUCGCCUGUGACGAAGCGUGAGUGACGGUAAUGGGUAAAGAAGCACCGGCUAACUACGUG